AGCUCAGUUGGAUAGAGCAACGACCUUCUAAGUCGUGGGCCGCAGGUUCGAAUCCUGCA
RNAcentral lists this transfer RNA (59 nucleotides) under Escherichia coli. RNAcentral describes it as "tRNA-Arg". It matches the Rfam family "tRNA", at positions 9 to 63 of the family's 71-position model. From Rfam's summary of the family: Transfer RNA (tRNA) molecules are approximately 80 nucleotides in length. Lineage: Bacteria; Pseudomonadati; Pseudomonadota; Gammaproteobacteria; Enterobacterales; Enterobacteriaceae. The record is from RNAcentral.